UAACUGGAGGACCGAACCGACUAAUGUUGAAAAAUUAGCGGAUGACCUGUGGCUGGGGGUGAAAGGCCAAUCAAACCGGGAGAUAGCUGGUUCUCCCCGAAAGCUAUUUAGGUAGCGCCUCGUGAAUUCAUCUCCGGGGGUAGAGCACUGUUUCGGCUAGGGGGCCAUCCCGGCUUACCAACCCGAUGCAAACUGCGAAUACCGGAGAAUGUUAUCACGGGAGACACACGGCGGGUGCUAACGUCCGUCGUGAAGAGGGAAACAACCCAGACCGCCAGCUAAGGUCCCAAAGUCAUGGUUAAGUGGGAAACGAUGUGGGAAGGCCCAGACAGCCAGGAUGUUGGCUUAGAAGCAGCCAUCAUUUAAAGAAAGCGUAAUAGCUCACUGGUCGAGUCGGCCUGCGCGGAAGAUGUAACGGGGCUAAACCAUGCACCGAAGCUGCGGCAGCGACACUGUGUGUUGUUGGGUAGGGGAGCGUUCUGUAAGCCUGUGAAGGUGUGUCGUGAGGC
Molecule: ribosomal RNA, 509 nt
Filed under: Salmonella enterica
Lineage: Bacteria; Pseudomonadati; Pseudomonadota; Gammaproteobacteria; Enterobacterales; Enterobacteriaceae
Also listed under: 1 other name
Description: partial 23S ribosomal RNA
Rfam family: Bacterial large subunit ribosomal RNA
Source: RNAcentral